Molecule: long non-coding RNA, 880 nt
Organism: Cyprinus carpio carpio
Lineage: Eukaryota; Metazoa; Chordata; Actinopteri; Cypriniformes; Cyprinidae
Source: Ensembl
CAGUGACACACAAUGGGGUAAAACAAGGGUAAACUGAUGGUGUUUUUACAAGAUUGAGGAAUUUAAUAGAAUUUUUGUGGAGUUUCUUCUCGACAGCCUGGAUCACUUUCCACAAGCUUGAUGGUCCCUGUGUGCCUGUAUGUGUCCUGUGUUUGAGUGGUCAGCAUCCAGUCCAUCUGUGUUAGCUGCCACAAAACACCAGGAGCCUUUUGAACUGCAAGCUCCUAGAGGUGAAAGGUCACCUGGCAGGUGGCAGAAGAAGGUCAAGGACAUGUCAGACAUGAGAAGUUACCAAUGUUUCUGACAGGGAUUUGGCCCUUCUUCUCACGGGUCAUGACUUCCCUCUGUGCCUAGCGCCAGAGGCGGUUUGUUCUCUGCUUAAGAGGGAUAUAACUUCCUUGACCCUUUCAUAUAAAUUCUUGUGAUUGGGAGUUCUGCUGUCACAACACCAACUAAGGGGCAUUAAGUGCAAGCCUGAAAGGAUUUGGCAUUGAUCUUGGGAGUAUGAGAGAUGGAGAAAACAUUUUUCCAUGGGUUUGCUUUGAAAUUACUUGCAUCCAAAACACCCAACAUUUUAUAUCAUAUAUUUCCCUCCCCUUCUUGUGUCAAAUUUGGACCAUCUAAUAGAGUCUCCUUCAAUGCAAGACACCACAUGUGAAUAAAGUAAAAAUGUACAUACUUUGCCAGCUCAUUUAUCACAGCACAUUAAGACAAUUUUUUUAUAUGAUAGGUUAUGUUUGAAUAUGCAAAUGAUGCUUUAUCUAAUUAUAUAUGCACUAAUCAGAAAUCUGUACAUUGGAUUCAAAAUGAUUAUUUUACACAGGAGAGUUUAGAUACUUAUUUAUAUCACUCCAUAAAUCAAAAAAUACUGUCAAGCCAG